This 12244-nucleotide long non-coding RNA is filed under the name Triticum aestivum (bread wheat). RNAcentral's name for it is "long non-coding RNA (TAES_LNC008479)". The record is from RNAcentral. Lineage: Eukaryota; Viridiplantae; Streptophyta; Magnoliopsida; Poales; Poaceae.
GAGUGAUAAAGGAAACCAUCACUUGCCAGCAGUUUUGCACUGAUCUCAGACAGCUGACUUUGGGUAGCUGCAGGUUCCCAACUUCCAUGUGAUUACAGUAUUCUGAUUGGUCUCAUCUACUGUACCAACUAUUUGCCUGCAAGAUUGUAAUCAGAUGAAUUUACCAAAUGGGUUUACAACAACUAUGUGCUGUAUAAACUUUUGUACCUCUCUUGAUUAUAAUCUAUUACACCGUUGCAUUGAUAGGAUACUUUCAGAAUUAACUGUUUACAGAAAAAUGUUGCAUAUUGGCUUAAUAAUUUCGUAGUAAAAUUGAAGGAAUACAGAGUCUGUUACGAAUUGAAAAUGCCGAACAUGCAUACACAUCACCUAUCGCAAACAAUAUUAGAAAUUGCGGCAAACAAAUGGCAAGGCCACUACAAAACAGUGGUCCCUCAUGCACUAUGAUCUGUAUAACUAUCUUAUCAGCAUAUGUUUACUACAUUAUCAUGUUACUCCUGCACAUUUGCUUUCCGAGACAGUUAAGUCCUUCUCUACAGUUCUUUGACUGUCAUUUUCUUUUGCACUUAGGCGCAUUGUCUCUUCUACUGACCAGUAUACACACUACAAGUGUGUGUAUUAGAAUAGAUUCUCUUUUCCAAAAAAAUUAGAAAAAUCUAUCGUGAAACAAAAUAAAGAUAGGUGCAUCCCAUGCUUGCAUGGAUGUGCAUGUGCUCGUUCUUGGUGCUGCUGAACCCUUAUUACCAGUCAAACAUUGGGAAGCUAUCUUAUCAUUAGGUUAAAACUUUGUAAAAGAUUAACCUUUUGGGUUAGCCACUUUAACCUGAUUGGGUUGGCAUAAAGCCUGCCUGGUAAUCCUAACCUACGUGCAAGGAUUUAUCCGGCUUUUCAUCAGUGAUGAUGAUGAUGGCAAGACAAGUGCACACCUAAAGUUCCCAAGGGCCUACACGCCUUUCAUUUUUUAUGGUUGCAGCAGGGCUUAUGAAUGUUGAUUGAUGCUGAUGCCCUCUUGCUGUCUAAUUUUCAAAAUGUUUGCAGUAGUAGCAGGAUGUUGACUGAGUCAGGAACCAGCGAAAAUUUCCGCAAAGGACCAGAAGUUAUGUUACCCCCUCCUAUCCGGAUCCGACAUUGUAUAGAGGCUGCGUCAUUUAAUUCGGAUCAGAGGGAGUACAUGAUUUCAUUCCAGUGAAGUGUGAGAGGAUAAUCAUAUAGGUUCGAUCUUACUUACCAAACGGCGUAAUAGAUCUUUCAUUAUUUGUUUUUCUCUGCAGCUGUGUUUUUGUAUGAAUGAGGCAAAACUUUGCCUCUGUUUCAGAAAGAAAAAAGAUGAACAUUCAGGACCCGCAAACUGAACAUUACUCCCUCCGUCCCAUAAUAUAAAAAUGUUUUGUACACUAGUGUACUGUCAAAAAUGCUCUUAUAUUAUGGGACGGAGGGAGUAGUUGGUAAUAGUUGUGGUGGCCACUCAAAAUGGUUUGGAACGCAUGCUUUGAAAUCUUUGUAGCGUGGGUGGUGGCACAACAUCUGUCCUGAGCCAACCAAUCACUGUCCUUCGAGGCAUUCUUGUCCAUUGACAAUGCGAUGGUACUACUAUGUGUACUAGAAACAGGAGAGGCUUUCUCCUUGGGUGAUUCAGAAGCCAUUGUUUGUUGUUUGGACAGCAAGGCCGACCCCCCAAAUAGGCCUAAAAUGAAAAAGGUAAAUAGGGCUACCAAAUGUAUGUUGCCUUUCCUGCUUAGGUUCAUAUCAUAAGGUCAUACUACUAAAAUAACAUCCCCUGUGUUUUGGUGACUCGAAAAGCCUAAGCAGAGCUAAUGCUACCACUAGCAUGCCCCAGGUUUGGCACACUCUAGUAGAGCCUAGUUAGUGGACAAGAUUUUCUCCCUAAUGCACACACUUUUGCUUACUUCACUCUCACAAGCAAAGGGCCCUGGUGACCCCUAGUGAUUGGCAUGCACAGUCCUCUGUUCUCAUUGAAAUUGUGUGUGACAUUGACAUGACCAAACCUAGGCCACACUAUUUUUUUUUUCCUUUACCGUCCUUGUGGAAACGCUUGAGGCAUUUGGUCAAAGAAAAACAUUGCUGAGUGGUCAGGGAUAUUCAAGUCGCAUGGUAGAUAGCAUCUGCAUAGUUUCUCAAGCCUUUGCUUCAUCAAAGUGGGGGCACCAACCUAGAAAACCCACAUCUCUCGCCCCCUAGUUUACUUGCUACUAGUUGCCUAAAUUAUCAUCUGAUAUGCAGUAGGUUUGCCCACUAAUUUGAAAGAUCAACAAGAGCCAUGUCAACACUAAUUAGUCCAUUGAUUUCUUGAGUGCUGCAAUACUACUACUCACUAGAGCUCAUCACAGCUGGCCUCUUUUCUUAUCUUCUCUCUCCUUGGGACUGGGGAACCUGAAUUCAAGGCUGGGUUUACGCAUACAUGCAUGCAUGCAGGGUCCUGCAGCAAGCAAACCAUGAUAUGACGUGUCCUGGGUUUGUUUGAUCUGUGACACAUACCUGCUGGCCGGCUGGCUCGCAAUCCAUAAUGGCGCGUCCAAGAGAAACCCUCGGCUCAAAGGCAGCAAGGACGGGCCUGUACCGUGUACAACGCUUGUCCAUGGCAGAGUUGUUGGACGCAAGGCCGGGCGGGCUUGUACAGCCUUCAAUGCGGCGUGCCGGCCUGCCAAGGACCGUCCGUCCGUCGGUCACAGUAGGUAGAUCGACACCGCCAAGCCCUCAUUUUAGCCACUGCUGCUGCUCAAACAAGAAUGAAUGAUGUGUUCUUGCUGCUGCAUCUGGAAGCUUGGAGUUCAUACUGGAAUAUGUAUGUAUGAUCCGUCUCUCCAUCGUUUUCAGGCGCGACCUUUUGUCUGGAUCAUCCAUGGGCAGCUACUGAGGUGGUGGUCCAACGCUCCUUGAUCUUAGUGAGUUGAGGCCAAAUCUUGGCAUCUUCCCUUCGCGUAUAUAUUCAAAUGUGUAGCAAAUGGUAGUAAAUUAAACUGGAUCUAGGUAUGUGAAUGGGGACGGACGAUGCGUGCAGGACUGGCACUGUUGCGGUGCUCCAAAACAUCGGCCCUUGAAUCGUGCGCUCUUGUUCACGUAGCCUUCAACACGUAUGUUUAUGUCAUUUGUAUAUGUCGUGGCUGUCAAAUAUACAUGUGGUUAUGCAACCUGCUCCUGGAUGCCGACAGUUUGUCCUAGUUUGCGAGCAGAAGCACAUAUAUUGUGCAGGUAUUGCAGGCCCCUAUGGAACCAACGAAAUGGAGAGACUGAAUUUUUUUCUCAUAUGAUUAAGUUUUCAAAUUCCUAUAUCAAUAGAGAGAUUAAAUUCCAUGGCAUUUUGAGUAAAGGAAAUAUUGCCGUCAUUUUGAUCUGUCAAGUGUUGAGAUACAUCAAACUAAGAAAAGAGAAGGUGUUGAGAUACAUUAUGGAUGUGUCAGUAGGCACUGGAAGUAUUACGUUGACAAGAUGCUAUAGAUUAGCUCCAUGAUUCUUGAGUAGAUGCCAUGGCGUGUCCGUAUUAUGUCUGCUAAUUCGCAUAUGGCUACGUUUUCCCUGGUGGAUUUGGGGCCCUGGCCCCGCGAGGAUUAGCGGCCAGGCCAGGUGUUUUGUCUCAUCCCUCGGUACAUUCUGCAGAAGAAAUGCAGCGUUUUCUGUUGGCUGGAUUAAGGAUUUUCUGGGGAGAUGAUGCUGGGAGGUGGUUGAGAUUACACUGUCAACAUAUCCAUUAUCCAGUUUUUUAAUGUGUAGUCUGCAGCCUGCCUCUUUGAGAUCUUUAUUCGGUUCUAGGGUUUCCCUACCAUCUUAUAUAAUUUCUUGUGUGGAAAACUUUGGCGCAAGCCUGCUUUGGUUGCCAGAUGGAGUUUGUGGAUAGAGAAAGCCACAUUAUGAACCAAACCGUUCAUUAUUCCUUCCUUUUCUUGCCCCUUUCUGCCAAAUCAGACGUACCAAUGCAAUCACAACUGAUAAUACGUGGGCCAAAAUGCUAUUUAGUAAUGUAAGCACAAGCUAAUAGGCAAUGACGUCACGAUGAUGGAGGUGAUCUCACACUGAGUAAGAUCUCACAUCUUCAUCGUAGUAUUGGUGUGAUUAUCACGGAUUAUGCCAUGGAGCCUGUGGUAUUUUGGUCCAGUACGUGAACCAAAGGCUUGAUUUGGCGGAUGGUCAUGGCCGCGUUGGUGGGAUCACUUAUGUUGAGCUUGUUUUGGUAGCAUUUGUCCAAGCUCAUCCUUUUGUGCUCUCGGAUUUCUUUCGUAAAAGGGCAACGAUAAAGCAGUAGUUCAACAGUCUAUAUUAAGAGGAGUGAAGAAUCAAGAUUUUUAUUUGCGGGUGACUGAAGAAUCAAGAUGGUCAACUAGAACCGGGGGAGAAAGCGGGCGGGGUAGGUGACCACAAAUAUUUACUCACUUCAUCCCAAAAUGUAAGACGUAUUUUGACACUACCCAAAUGUAAGACGUUUUUUGAUACUAGUGUAGUGUCAAAAAUCCUCUUACAUUAUGGGACGGAGGGGGUAACUUUUUAGGUUUUGUGUAUAAGUAGGUUCUCUUGAUACGAAGCAGGAUAAACAUCAAGGUAAACAAUCACAAGUGACAACUUCUCCUUGAAAAUGCCACACCAAGUAGGAGCUCAAUCCCUAGUGUUUGGCUUUGAAGUGACCAUCAAACCUUCACAAACGCUUCCCAGAGCCUUUCAUAAUGUUGGAAGUUCUGGAAUGGACUCCUAUCACCUAGGAGUCCCCACAACUCCAAGUAACACAUUCGGUGAAGCGCAAGUAGGAGAUCAUGAUUUUGGCUCGAGACAAAUAGUGGAUAUAGUAGACCUCCUUUGAUUUCCUACAGUUUGUGCAAGUUUGGUUGGUGGGAGAGGGAGGAAGCAAGCUUUUUAAAGAUCAACAAUGGGAUGCAACUCAUAUCCAGAAACCAGAGCUGGAGGUAGAAGAAGGAGUGGUUUUUAUAGCUCCGCCACCAUUUUCAACUAUUAUUCACUGAAACAACCAAACAUGGAGUUUCAGCAUUCACAACAUGGAGAUUUGGGGUGACCAGAGGUGAAACACCCAAACCCGAAGAUAAAAUCUAGAGAUCGAGGUUUCAACUCUGAGGCAUACAAUAGCAAAACCAAGAUCUCGAAAAUCAAACCUGGAGUUUUGGUCUUUGCCUCCAGCCUAUCUGGAGAGCUGCAUAGAGGGAAAUAUUAGGGUUUUCUUUGUGUAGGCUUAGUGCUUGUAUUUUUGUGGUGGCUACAUGUGUAUGUUUUUCAUGAUCCACCAACUUCAACACCACCUCAACCCUCUUUAUAGUGUGAUUUUCCUCUGACUCAAAUAACCCAAAACUCCAGGAACAUAAAAUGGCGCCAACACCUUUCCCCUUUUUGAUUCGGGGGAGGAGGGGCUCACCUCCAUAUAUUCCAUUUAUUGGGACUAUGUAUCUAUAGAUCACUCGGUUAGACCUAACCAGGGGCUUAGAUAUCUUUUCAAAGAGUGUGUCAGUCGCAUUAUGUUUAAUAAUCUUACGUUCACACCCUUGGCGUGGGUGGUUAACAUAGAACCUCAACAGCUUUGAGGUCAAUCCAAGUUGUCAAGCUUGUUCUUUUGUAAUUUUUGUCAUCAAGCAAACACACAUAGGCAAAAGCUAGUGUUAUAGAUACACUAAAACAAACCUUUAUAUAACAUUGGGAUUUAUCAGUUUUCUCUUUAUUUGCGUUUGGCCCAGUUUGUUUUAUCUAUGUUAAUGUAUCUAUUUAUUCUAUAAAUCUAGAUCGUUGUUCCAAAAAGAAAAUAGAUGAUGCAAUUUAUAGGGAGUUACGAAAACAUUUCUUGGGGAAAAUGUGAAGUAUUUAUGGAGAGAAGUUCUACUAUGUUUGUGAUGAUACCAUGCUACUAACUAUAAGUGCAUCUAGUGCCCCUUUGUGGUUUGCAGUAUUGAUGACAAAAGUGGUUAAGGGACUAAUGUUUUUGUGAGUAUACACAAGUGAAAGUCUCUAAAGAUUUGUUUUAACCAUUGUAAGUGACCCCUAAAAAUGUGGAGAAACAUUGAAGAUUCGGUGUGCCAUCCUUGAAUAAUUAGGCAAAGAACUGGAUCGUGAAGACUUACGACGCGUUUGUUUCGGAGAAAAUCCGGGGUUUUCGAUUGCAGCGAUUUCAGAAAACGGAAGCCAUCGUUUGUUUCGCCCACGAUUAUUUCCAUAGCCGUGCUUUCCGAUACAACAUUUCACAAAAUUGAAAUCGCCGGAAUCUGACGUUACUAGAGAUCGAAGUGCGAUGGCACAAACCAAACAAAUCACAGAUUGCGUAAAAAUAAAUGGAAGCAACACUUCCCGAUACGAGAAAUCGAAUAUGUUACCUGGCCGGAACCAAACGCGUCAUUAGUCUUUUUCAUAGUUCUUUCUAUUCUUCAUUCAGUCAUAGGGAAACCAUACUGUUAAGGGGGGGGGGGUCAAGGUAUACGAAGUUAGUGUUUUUGAAGUGUCCCCAAUCCUGUUGAUUAUUUCGAGAACUUUGGAAAUCUCUUGCAGUGCAGUUCUUUUUCGUCCGUGUCUGAGAUGAUAUUCUUUCGGCCGCAGUAGUCAAAGUCCUCACUGAGGAGUUAGGAAACCAACAAUUUGUUUCUCCUACCCUAAGGAAAUUGAGAGUUUAAAAUUUUGAUUGUUGCCUCGCUGGUGACAACUAGGUGACGGGCCCGUCCCGUCCAAUGGUCACUUCGAGAUCUCAGGUUGUGACCCCCGCUAUAUAUACCAACCCCCUCCUCCACCAUAACUUUGUUGGUUGAUCUGUGAUAAUUUGCCGCAAGUGUCAUUUGAGCUACCCAUCCUUCUGAAGCAUUUGAGAGAAUCCUAGUGCGGAAAACCCCUAGUACCCAAAAGCCAAAGUGAUUGAGCAUUGAAGAAUCUGUUCUAAGUGAAUCAAAGACUUGUUACUCUUGAAGACUGUGAUCUUCCGGAUGGUUGGGCGUCUGUUCAGAGCUUCUAAGAGUCGUUGUUAAUUGCAGAGGAACAAGUAUGUGAAGGUUUGGAGAUCUACCACGAGUGAUUGGGGCGAGGUGAAAGUGAUCUUAGCUCAAGGAUAAUAGUGUGAAGACUUAGUAUUUUAAGAUAAAUCUCACCCUCUCGAAAACUAGAUGUAGAGUUGUCACAACAACUUGAUCUGGUCCAAUAAAUCGAUUUUCUUCACCGAGCUAUUGGUUCCACAUUCUUCACUCCUUUACAUUACGCACUAGCAUGUUGUGAAGAAUUCACUUCCUCCCUCUCUGAAUACUUUCUCUGGAGACUUUGCUAUUUCAGUGUUCUUUGGUAUGUUAAUUUUUGUCUUCAAUCUCGAUAUUUUGAAGUGUGUAUGUUUUUUGUUCAUCUAGUUGAUCUACUAUUACUUAGUAUGCAUGAUAUCUUUUGUUCUGAUGACUUUGCCUCAGUACUGAUUGCAUGCUAGUAGUAAUUUUUCUUCAACAAGUAAUUUCUUUUGUUCUGUUUAGCUCGUCGAUUCUUCAAGGAAAUAGUUUUUUUCCCAACGAUUUGAUAAAAAAAAUCUCCCAUUCACCUCUCUCUAGUCGAUUAAUUGCUCUUUCACCAACACAUGGUAAAAUCACCAAAAAAUCAUUAAAAAUGUGCUUGUGUGUGUGUGUGUGUGCGCACGCGCAUGCAUAGGCUUUCAUGAAUCACACUACAAAAUUCAAAUGAAAACACAAUAUAGAUCAAAAGAAAGGAAAAAAGACAUUUUUUGUGGACGGUAGUUUCACCUUUCCCUCUUUAAGGCUACUUUUUAGCGAACAUAUUGUUGGAAAUAUGCCCUAGAGGCAAUAAUAAAUAGGUUAUUAUUAUAUUUCCUUGUUCAUGAUAAUCAUUUAUUAUCCAUGCUAGAAUUGUAUUGAUAGGAAACUCAGAUACAUGUGUGGAUACAUAGACAACACCAUGUCCCUAGUAAGCCUCUAGUUGACUAGCUCGUUGAUCAAUAGAUGGUUACGGUUUCCUGACCAUGGACAUUGGAUGUCGUUGAUAACGGGAUCACAUCAUUAGGAGAAUGAUGUGAUGGACAAGACCCAAUCCUAAAGCCUAGCACAAGAUCGUGUAGUUCGUUUGCUCAGAGCUUUUCUAAUGUCAAGUAUCAUUUCCUUAGACCAUGAGAUUGUGCAACUCCCGGAUACCAUAGGAAUGCUUUGGGUGUACCAAAUGUCACAACGUAACUGGGUGGCUAUAAAGGUGCACUACAGGUAUCUCCGAAAGUGUCUGUUGGGUUGGCACGAAUCGAGACUGAGAUUUGUCACUCCGUAUAAACGGAGAGGUAUCUCUGGGCCCACUCGGUAGGACAUCAUCAUAAUGUGCACAGUGUGACCAAGGAGUUGAUCACGGGAUGAUGUGAGUUACGAAACGAGUAAAGAGACUUGCCGGUAACGAGAUUGAACAAGGUAUCGGGAUACCGACGAUCGAAUCUCGGGCAAGUAGCAUACCGAUAGACAAAGGGAAUUGUAUACGGGAUUAAUUGAAUCCCCGACAUCGUGGUUCAUCCGAUGAGAUCAUCGUGGAACAUGUGGGAGCCAACAUGGGUAUCCAGAUCCCGCUGUUGGUUAUUGACCGGAGAACGUCUCGGUCAUGUCUGCAUGGUUCCCGAACCCGUAGGGUCUACACACUUAAGUUUCGAUGACGCUAGGGUUAUAAAGGAAGUUUGUAUGUGGUUACCGAAUGUUGUUCGGAGUCCCGGAUGAGAUCCCGGACGUCACGAGGAGUUUCGGAGGUAAAGAUUUAUAUAUGGGAAGUCCUGUUUUGGUCACCGGAAAAGUUUUGGGUGAUAUCGGUAAUGUACCGGGACCACCGGGAGGGUCCCGGGGGUCCACCAAGUGGGGCCACCAGCCCCAGUAGGCUGCGUGGGCCAAGUGUGGGAGGGGACCAGCCCCAGGUGGGCUGGUGCGCCCCCCCACCAAGGCCCAAGGCGCAUGGGAGAGUGGGAGGGGGCAAACCCUAGGUCCAGAUGGGCCUUAAGGCCCACCCUAGUGGCGCCCCCCCUCUCCUCCCCUUGGCCGCCCCCCUAGAUGGGAUCUAGGGCUGGCCGCCACCCCUUGGGGUGGGAACCCUAGAGGGGGCGCAGCCCCCUCCCCCCCUUAUAUAUAGUUGAGGUUUGGGGCUGCCCAAGAUACGAGAACGUCUCUCUUUCGGCGCAGUCCUACCCCUCUCCCUCCUCCUCCUCUCCCGCAGUGCUUGGCGAAGCCCUGCGGGAUUGCCACGCUCCUCCAUCACCACCAUGCCGUCGUGUUGCUGCUGGAUGGAGUCUUCCCCAACCUCUCCCUCUCUCCUUGCUGGAUCAAGGCGUGGGAGACGUCACCGGGCUGCACGUGUGUUGAACGCGGAGACACCGUUCUUCGGUGCUUAGAUCGGAAUCAACCGCGAUCUGAAUCGCUACGAGUACGACUCCUUCAUCCGCGUUCUUGCAACGCUUCCGCAUCGCGAUCUACAAUGGUAUGUAGAUGCACUCCCCUUCCCCUCGUUGCUAGAUUACUCCAUAGAUUGAUCUUGGUGAUGCGUAGAAAAUUUUGAAUUUCUGCUACGUUCCCCAACAGUGGCAUCAUGAGCUAGGUUUAUGCGUAGUUUCUAUGCACGAGUAGAACACAAAGCAGUUGUGGGCAUAGAUGUUGCCAAUUCUUCUUGCCGCUACUAGUCUUAUCUUGUUUCGGCGGCAUUGUGGGAUGAAGCGGCCCGGACCGACCUUACACGUACGCUUACGUGAGACAGGUUCCACCGACUGACAUGCACUAGUUGCAUAAGGUGGCUAGCGGGUGUCUGUCUCUCCCACUUUAGUCGGAACGGAUUCGAUGAAAAGGGUCCUUAUGAAGGGUAAAUAGAAAUUGGCAUAUCACGUUGUGGUUUUACGUAGGUAAGAAACGUUCUUGCUAGAAACCUAUACAAGCCACGUAAAAACUUGCAACAACAAUUAGAGGACGUCUAACUUGUUUUUGCAGCAUGUGCUAUGUGAUGUGAUAUGGCCAGAAGAUGUGAUGAAUGAUAUAUGUGAUGUAUGAGAUUGAUCAUAUUCUUGUAAUAGGAAUCACGACUUGCAUGUCGAUGAGUAUGACAACUGGCAGGAGCCAUAGGAGUUGUCUUUAUUUUUUGUAUGACCUGCGUGUCAUUGAAUAACGCCAUGUAAAUUACUUUACUUUAUUGCUAAGCGCGUUAGCCAUAGAAGUAGAAGUAAUCGUUGGCGUGACAACUUCAUGAAGACACAAUGAUGGAGAUCAUGAUGAUGGAGAUCAUGGUGUCAUGCCGGUGACAAAGAUGAUCAUGGUGCCCCGAAGAUGGAGAUCAAAGGAGCAAAAUGAUAUUGGCCAUAUCAUGUCACUAUUUGAUUGCAUGUGAUGUUUAUCAUGUUAUGCAUCUUAUUUGCUUAGAACGACGGUAGUAAGUAAGAUGAUCCCUUAUAAUAAUUUCAAGAAAGUGUUCCCCUUAACUGUGCACCGUUGCGAAGGUUCAUUGUUUCGAAGCACCACGUGAUGAUCGGGUGUGAUAGAUUCUAACGUUUGAAUACAACGGGUGUUGACGAGCCUAGCAUGUACCGACAUGGCCUCGGAACACAUGCGAAACACUUAGGUUGACUUGACGAGCCUAGCAUGUACAGACAUGGCCUCGGAACACAAGAGACCAAAAGGUCGAACAUGAGUCGUAUAGCAGAUACGAUCAACAUGGAGAUGCUCACCGAUGAUGACUAGUCCGUCUCACGUGAUGAUCGGACACGGCCUAGUUUGACUCGGAUCAUGUAUCACUUAGAUGACUAGAGGGAUGUCUAUCUGAGUGGGAGUUCAUUAAUCAGAUGAACUUAAUUAUCAUGAACAUAGUCAAAAAGUCUUUGCAAGUUAUGUCAUAGCUUGCGCUUUAAUUCUACUAUUUUAAGAUAUGUUCCUAGAGAAAAUUUAGUUGAAAGUUGGUAGUAGCAAUUAUGCGGACUGGGUCCGUAAACUGAGGAUUGUCCUCAUUGCUGCACAGAAGGCUUAUGUCCUUAAUGCACCGCUCGGUGUGCUGAACCUCAACGUCGUCUGUAGAUGUUGCGAAACAUCUGACAUACACGUUUUGAUGACUACGUGAUAGUUCAGUGCGUAAUGGUAACGGUUUAGAAUUGUGGCACCAAAGACGGUUUUUGAAACGUCGCAGAACAUAUGAGAUGUUCCGAAGACUGAAAUUGGGAUUUCGGACUAGUGCCCACGUCAAGAGGUAUGAGACCUCUGACAAGUUUCUUAAGCCUGCAAACUAAGGGAGAAAAGCUCAAUCGUUGAGCAUGUGCUUAGAUUGUCUGAGUACUACAAUCACUUGAAUCGAGUGGGAGUUAAUCUUCCAGAUGAGAUAGUGAUGGUUCUCCAUAAUCACUGCCACCAAGCUAUUAGAGCUUCGUGAUGAACUAUAAAUAUCAAGGAUAGAUGAUGAUCCUUGAGCAACUCGCGAUGUUUGACACCGCGAAAGUAGAAAUCAAGAAGGAGCAUCAAUUGUUGAUGGUUAGUAAAACCACUAGUUUCUAGAAGGGCAAGGGCAAAAGGGAUACUUCAUGAAACAGCAAAUCAUUUGCUGCUCUAGUAAAGAAUCCCAAGGUUGAACCCAAACCCGAGACUAAGUGCUUCUGUAAUGAGGGGAACGGUCACUGAAGUGGAACUACCCUAGAUACUUGGUAGAUGAGAAGGCAGGCAAGGUCGACAGAAGUAUAUUGGAUAUACAUUAUAUGAAUGUGUACUUUACUAGUACUCCUAGCAGCACCAGGGUAUUAGAUACUGGUUCGGUUGCUAAGUGUUAGUAACUCGAAAUAAAAGCUGUGGAAUAAAUGGAGACUGGAUAAAGGUGAGAUGACGAUGUGUGUUGGAAGUGUUUCCAAGGUUGAUGUGAUCAAGCAUCGCAUGCUCCCUCUACCAUCGAGAUUGGUGUUAAACCUAAAUAAUUGUUAUUUGGUGUUUGCGUUGAGCAUAAACAUGAUUGGAUUAUGUUUAUCGCAAUACAGUUAUUCAUUUAAGGAGAAUAAUGGUUACUCUGUUUAUUUGAAUAAUACCUUCAAUGGUCUUGCACCUAAAAUGAAUCUCGAUCGUAGUGAUACACAUAUUCAUGCCAAAAGAUAUAAGAUAGUAAUGAUAGUACCACAUACUUGUGGCACUGCCACUUGAGUCAUAUUGGUAUAAAACGCAUGAAGAAGCUCCAUGUAGAUGGAUCUUUGGACUCACUCAUUUUUGAAAAGAUUGAGACAUGCGAACCAUGUCUAUUGGUAUAUAUGCAUGAAGAAACUCCAUGCAGAUGGAUCAUUUGGACUCACUUGAUU